Molecule: long non-coding RNA, 210 nt
Organism: Lycium ferocissimum
Lineage: Eukaryota; Viridiplantae; Streptophyta; Magnoliopsida; Solanales; Solanaceae
Exons: 2
Source: RefSeq, a predicted model, not a curated record
GGGUUUCGGUUGAAACCAUAGUGGCCACCGUCUCGUUCCUUUGCUCUUUCCUCCGUCAUUGUUGCCAUUUUUGGCAAAAGGUCAGGUGUACAACAACUUUUGCAGACCUGGCAUGGUUGAUUAGGAUGUUUGCCUCCUCUCUCCACCAAGUCUCAACCAAACAAGGUGUUGAGGAGUUCAAGGGAUCUCCAAUUUCAAUUCUCGAUAAAG